GCCAGACAGUGAAUAAUAGCAGCUUCUAAUUAGUGAGAAUUGGACGAAAGCAAAGAAAGACUUUUGCUGCUGGGAGUUCACGGAAUUUCCAGUAAAUAAUAACCACCACCUCAGGGACAAAAAAAAAAUAGAGUUAUGCCCAAAUUUGGUCACAAAACUAUUGGAAGGUAUGCAUACUGCUCUUUCUGCUGCCAGCAGCUAAUGACCCGUGUCCUUGAAAUAGCAUCAGAAUAGGUCAGGCAAGAUGGUAAACGUUUCUGCUUUCCUGUCUCCUGUCAGGAGUUCACUCAAAUGUGCAAUCAAUCCCAGUUGCAGAUCCGCUGGACUUCAGGGGAAAAGAAACAAUGUUUUCCAGAAGGAAAGUACUGCUAUUCGCUCCCGUUGGCCUGAUUCAAGGUUGGCCUGGGAGAUGCGGAAAGACCCUGUCCCCAAUAUCCUCAAAUGCCUCGCCACCCUGGACUACUGCCUGGAAUUUGUCUCAGUGUCUUCUCUCUCCAGCUCAGUGAUUCUCAACUAAGAGGCUACACCGAAGGGCUUAUCAGAAACACCUGGGGGUUUUUUCCAACUACAGGUGUAGAACCCAGCCCCAUCUCCAGUUGCCCCUCCAACUGCACCAAAGUGCGUUCUAACAGGAGAAAGAGGAGUGAUACUGGUGAGUUGGAGCCCUGGAAGGAGAGCGCCUGCACCCCUCAGUGAGGACAACGCUGCUAUUUGGGGAUACAGAGGCAGUGAGGCCAGUUGACGACAUUGACUGUGAAAGAGCAACAGUGAUGAAGCAUAAGUUUGUGGUUGACCAAGGCCUUGAAACCCCGGUGCCGAGGCCAUUAGGAAACCAUAAAAAGUAUUCAAAAGAAUAAAGAAAAGUGUCUCCAUUUCAGUGACUCAGGAAUGCUUCUAGCCUUCUGGGAUACUCCCCGCCACCUCUGCCACCUCCACCUCUUUCAUUUAAUAUUCCUAUAAAAACUUAUUGUGGACUUACCAUAUGAAAGGCACUAUGCUACGCACUGAAGACUCAGCAGAGAAGAUAGACAUACUCCCUACCCUCUGGAGGCUAAUAUCCUAGUGAAAGAGACAAAAAAAAAGACUGAUAAAUAUAAUAAUUACAAACGUUGACAGGUUCACACAAGGAAAUAAGCAACGUGCUGAAGCAGAGAGACGUGGGGAAUGCGGAGGGCUGCUAUAGCUAGCUUGGUGAGGGAAGACCAUAGGAGGAGCAAUGUGUAACCUGGGACCUGAAAAAUGAGCAGAAGUCGAUUAUGGUUAGAGGAGGUGGAAGAAGAUUCCAGAAGGUGGAAGUAAAACGGCCCUGAGGUGACACACUUGAAGGACUGAAAGAAAAUCGUUGUGGCUACAACUACUGAGAGGCAAGUGGCACAAGAUGAGAAUGGAGAGGUGACAGGGACCUGAUUCUGUACAGUCCUGGGGGCCAUAGAAAGGAGUUUGGACUUUAUUCUAGGAGCCGUGGGCAGCUACAUUACAUUUAAAGCAGGGGAGCGGCAUGAUGUAAAUUAAGUUUUAAGACCACAAACUGCUGCUAUGCAAAAGAUAGAUUAGACUAGAG
RNAcentral lists this long non-coding RNA (1561 nucleotides) under Equus caballus (horse). RNAcentral describes it as "lncRNA (ENSECAG00000044888.1)". Lineage: Eukaryota; Metazoa; Chordata; Mammalia; Perissodactyla; Equidae. The record is from RNAcentral.